GAACUGAAGAGUUUGAUCAUGGCUCAGAUUGAACGCUGGCGGCAGGCCUAACACAUGCAAGUCGAGCGGAUGAAGGGAGCUUGCUCCUGGAUUCAGCGGCGGACGGGUGAGUAAUGCCUAGGAAUCUGCCUGGUAGUGGGGGAUAACGUCCGGAAACGGGCGCUAAUACCGCAUACGUCCUGAGGGAGAAA
RNAcentral lists this ribosomal RNA (191 nucleotides) under Pseudomonas aeruginosa. RNAcentral describes it as "partial 16S ribosomal RNA". It matches the Rfam family "Bacterial small subunit ribosomal RNA", at positions 1 to 205 of the family's 1533-position model. Lineage: Bacteria; Pseudomonadati; Pseudomonadota; Gammaproteobacteria; Pseudomonadales; Pseudomonadaceae. The record is from RNAcentral.